ACAAGAGAUGUGCCUUUUUCUUCAGCAUCAACAAUUUGCAUUCCAAGGGGAGACUCAAGAGCAAAUUUGGCACAAGAUGGCCUUUUUGGGAAGAUCUCUUUUACAUCUGACUGGUCUGAAGCACAACUUAAAGAAGAAAUGACUGCCCUUUUCAGAAGAACGUUUCCAUUGUCUAUGGGCCAGUCAUCCCCAUUUGAAUAUUUGAGUCAAGGGAUGCAAAAGACUAAUGAAACCAAACGUCUCAAGCAAUUUUCUGUGGGGUGGAAAAGAAGUUGCCUCGAUUAGUUCAGCCACUUGUCUCUAUAUAAUGGCGUAAUAUUAUUACGCAAACCUGUACAGGAUGAACCUGAGGAACUGACAGUGACUUUGAAAGUCCUGUGGGCUGGAGAAGGAGAGUUCAUAGUGUCACCUUCCACAAUUGAAAGUGAGCUCAUCAGUCAAGGGAGUUAAAACAAUAGACUGCAAGAAAUUCCGUCGCGUCAAGUAAGAACCCUGUUUAUCUGGAGGAAGAGGAGGCUCUUGAAGAGGCAAUUCAGCAUAG
This is a long non-coding RNA of Etheostoma cragini (Arkansas darter), 541 nucleotides long. RefSeq lists it as uncharacterized. The transcript has 4 exons. NCBI's taxonomy places the organism in Eukaryota, Metazoa, Chordata, Actinopteri, Perciformes, Percidae. The record is from RefSeq and is a predicted model, not a curated record.